Molecule: small RNA, 598 nt
Filed under: Pan troglodytes (chimpanzee)
Lineage: Eukaryota; Metazoa; Chordata; Mammalia; Primates; Hominidae
Description: processed transcript
Source: RNAcentral
GGGGGGGCCGGUUGGGGGUGGGGGUAGGGGUUGCAAGGGCCUCAUUUUUUCUUACUGCCCCCAUCCGGUUCGGGGAGGUGGCGGGACCUUGGCGGCGCCCGGAGCCGGCGUGGCGCUCAUCGAGGGACGCCCGGCCCAAGUGGUGAAGGUGAUAAAGUAAAGUGCUUUCACUGUGGAGGAGGGCUAACUGAUUGGAAGCCCAGUGAAGACCCUUGGGAACAACAUGCUAAAUGGUAUCCAGGGUGCAAAUAUCUGUUAGAACAGAAGGGACAAGAAUAUAUAAGCAAUAUUCAUUUAACUCAUUCACUUGAGGAGUGUCUGGUAAGAACUACUGAGAAAACACCAUCACUAACUAGAAGAAUUGAUGAUACCAUCUUCCAAAAUCCUAUGGUACAAGAAGCUAUACGAAUGGGGUUCAGUUUCAAGGACAUUAAGAAAAUAAUGGAGGAAAAAAUUCAGAUAUCUGGGAGCAACUAUAAAUCACUUGAGGUUCUGGUUGCAGAUCUAGUGAAUGCUCAGAAAGACAGUAUGCAAGAUGAGUCAAGUCAGACUUCAUUACAGAAAGAGAUUAGUACUGAAGAGCAGCUAAGGCGCCUGC